RNAcentral lists this ribosomal RNA (301 nucleotides) under uncultured bacterium. RNAcentral's name for it is "partial 16S ribosomal RNA". It matches the Rfam family "Bacterial small subunit ribosomal RNA", at positions 509 to 807 of the family's 1533-position model. The record is from RNAcentral.
CAGCCGCCGCGGUAAUACGUAGGGUGCAAGCGUUAAUCGGAAUUACUGGGCGUAAAGCGUGCGUAGGCGGUUUGUUAAGUCUGUUGUGAAAUCCCCGGGCUCAACCUGGGAAUGGCAAUGGAUACUGGCAAGCUAGAGUGUGUCAGAGGAUGGCGGAAUUCCCGGUGUAGCGGUGAAAUGCGUAGAGAUCGGGAGGAACAUCAGUGGCGAAGGCGGCCAUCUGGGACAACACUGACGCUGAGGCACGAAAGCGUGGGGAGCAAACAGGAUUAGAUACCCCAGUAGUCCCUGUCUCUUAUAC